UACGUAGGGGGCCAGCGUUGCUCGGAAUUACUGGGCGUAAAGGGUCCGUAGGCGGUGCGGCAAGUCGGAAGUGAAAUCUCUGGGCUUAACCCAGAGGCUGCUUCCGAAACUGCCGUGCUAGAGGAUGAGAGAGGCAAGUGGAAUUGCGGGUGUAGCGGUGAAAUGCGUAGAUAUCCGCAGGAACAUCCGAGGCGAAAGCGGCGCGCUGGACCACAACUGACGCUGAGGAACGAAAGCUAGGGGAGCAAACAGG
This 253-nucleotide ribosomal RNA is filed under the name uncultured bacterium. RNAcentral describes it as "partial 16S ribosomal RNA". It matches the Rfam family "Bacterial small subunit ribosomal RNA", at positions 524 to 776 of the family's 1533-position model. The record is from RNAcentral.